UACGUAGGUGGCAAGCGUUGUCCGGAAUUACUGGGCGUAAAGGGCGUGUAGGCGGUUUGUUAAGUCUGGCGUGAAAGCUCUCGGCUAAACCGGGAGAGGUCGUUGGAUACUGGCAAACUAGAGGACGGUAGAGGCGUGUGGAAUUCCGGGUGUAGUGGUGAAAUGCGUAGAGAUCCGGAGGAACACCAGUGGCGAAGGCGACACGCUGGGCCGUACCUGACGCUAAAGCGCGACAGCAUGGGGAGCAAACGGG
Molecule: ribosomal RNA, 253 nt
Filed under: uncultured bacterium
Lineage: Bacteria
Description: partial 16S ribosomal RNA
Rfam family: Bacterial small subunit ribosomal RNA
Source: RNAcentral